GACCAAGGACCACGUAGGGAUACCCGCUGAAUUAA
This 35-nucleotide ribosomal RNA is filed under the name Lecidea roseotincta. Its description in RNAcentral is "partial 28S ribosomal RNA". The record is from RNAcentral. Lineage: Eukaryota; Fungi; Ascomycota; Lecanoromycetes; Lecideales; Lecideaceae.